ACUUCGGUGGGGAUUAGUGGCGAACGGGUGAGUAACACGUGGGCAAUCUGCCCUUCACUCUGGGACAAGCCCUGGAAACGGGGUCUAAUACCGGAUACCACUACCGCAGGCAUCUGUGGUGGUUGAAAGCUCCGGCGGUGAAGGAUGAGCCCGCGGCCUAUCAGCUUGUUGGUGAGGUAAUGGCUCACCAAGGCGACGACGGGUAGCCGGCCUGAGAGGGCGACCGGCCACACUGGGACUGAGACACGGCCCAGACUCCUACGGGAGGCAGCAGUGGGGAAUAUUGCACAAUGGGCGAAAGCCUGAUGCAGCGACGCCGCGUGAGGGAUGACGGCCUUCGGGUUGUAAACCUCUUUCAGCAGGGAAGAAGCGAAAGUGACGGUACCUGCAGAAGAAGCGCCGGCUAACUACGUGCCAGCAGCCGCGGUAAUACGUAGGGCGCAAGCGUUGUCCGGAAUUAUUGGGCGUAAAGAGCUCGUAGGCGGCUUGUCACGUCGGGUGUGAAAGCCCGGGGCUUAACCCCGGGUCUGCAUUCGAUACGGGCUAGCUAGAGUGUGGUAGGGGAGAUCGGAAUUCCUGGUGUAGCGGUGAAAUGCGCAGAUAUCAGGAGGAACACCGGUGGCGAAGGCGGAUCUCUGGGCCAUUACUGACGCUGAGGAGCG
RNAcentral lists this ribosomal RNA (662 nucleotides) under Streptomyces canus. RNAcentral describes it as "bacterial SSU rRNA". It matches the Rfam family "Bacterial small subunit ribosomal RNA", at positions 77 to 755 of the family's 1533-position model. The record is from RNAcentral. Lineage: Bacteria; Bacillati; Actinomycetota; Actinomycetes; Kitasatosporales; Streptomycetaceae.